AUCUUUGCGCAGUGGCAGUAUCGUAGCCAAUAAGGUUUACUUGAGGGGUGAUUAUUGCUAAUUGAAAAUAUUCACUCUUAAAAAUGAAUGCAGGGGUCCAGCGUGGUAGCCUAGUGACUAAAAAUUUUCACCCUGCACACAACAGG
Small nuclear RNA from Ochotona curzoniae (black-lipped pika), 146 nucleotides. RefSeq annotates it as U4 spliceosomal RNA. The transcript has a single exon. The record is from RefSeq and is a predicted model, not a curated record. Lineage: Eukaryota; Metazoa; Chordata; Mammalia; Lagomorpha; Ochotonidae.